Ceratotherium simum simum (southern white rhinoceros) is the source of this 219-nucleotide non-coding RNA. The record is from RefSeq and is a predicted model, not a curated record. NCBI's taxonomy places the organism in Eukaryota, Metazoa, Chordata, Mammalia, Perissodactyla, Rhinocerotidae.
GUUCACUGACAUGCGACUCUGGGGCUAAGAAGCAUGUGGUGGGUUUCUGGAGAGCACAAGGGGUCACUUUUCUCCAUCCCAGAACACACAACAGCAUCACAAACCGACUCCAAAUCAAAGUUGUUAAAUUUCCAAGCUUUAAUCCCAAACCAGACCACAGCGAGGUCAGACUCAGAUAUUCACCCCUCCCUCUACCCGACCACCUACUUCCCAGAGUCU